RNAcentral lists this ribosomal RNA (253 nucleotides) under uncultured bacterium. RNAcentral describes it as "partial 16S ribosomal RNA". It matches the Rfam family "Bacterial small subunit ribosomal RNA", at positions 524 to 776 of the family's 1533-position model. The record is from RNAcentral.
UACGUAGGGCGCAAGCGUUAUCCGGAAUUAUUGGGCGUAAAGAGCUUGUAGGCGGUUUGUAGCGUCUGCCGUGAAAAUCCGGGGCUCAACCCCGGACUUGCGGUGGGUACGGGCAGACUAGAGUGUGGUAGGGGAGACUGGAAUUCCUGGUGUAGCGGUGAAAUGCGCAGAUAUCAGGAGGAACACCGAUGGCGAAGGCAGGUCUCUGGGCCACUACUGACGCUGAGAAGCGAAAGCGUGGGGAGCGAACAGG